GAUGAACGCUGGCCGCGUGCCUAAUACAUGCAAGUCGAGCGAACAGACGAGGAGCUUGCUCCUCUGACGUUAGCGGCGGACGGGUGAGUAACACGUGGAUAACCUACCUAUAAGACUGGGAUAACUUCGGGAAACCGGAGCUAAUACCGGAUAAUAUAUUGAACCGCAUGGUUCAAUAGUGAAAGACGGUUUUGCUGUCACUUAUAGAUGGAUCCGCGCCGCAUUAGCUAGUUGGUAAGGUAACGGCUUACCAAGGCGACGAUGCGUAGCCGACCUGAGAGGGUGAUCGGCCACACUGGAACUGAGACACGGUCCAGACUCCUACGGGAGGCAGCAGUAGGGAAUCUUCCGCAAUGGGCGAAAGCCUGACGGAGCAACGCCGCGUGAGUGAUGAAGGUCUUCGGAUCGUAAAACUCUGUUAUUAGGGAAGAACAAAUGUGUAAGUAACUAUGCACGUCUUGACGGUACCUAAUCAGAAAGCCACGGCUAACUACGUG
Molecule: ribosomal RNA, 497 nt
Filed under: uncultured bacterium
Lineage: Bacteria
Description: partial 16S ribosomal RNA
Rfam family: Bacterial small subunit ribosomal RNA
Source: RNAcentral